GUAUAAUGGGUCAGCGACUUAUAUUCUGUAGCAAGGUUAACCGAAUAGGGGAGCCGGAGGGAAACCGAGUCUUAAUUGGGCGUUAAGUUGCAGGGUAUAGACCCGAAACCCGGUGAUCUAGCCAUGGGCAGGUUGAAGGUUGGGUAACACUAACUGGAGGACCGAACCGACUAAUGUUGAAAAAUUAGCGGAUGACCUGUGGCUGGGGGUGAAAGGCCAAUCAAACCGGGAGAUAGCUGGUUCUCCCCGAAAGCUAUUUAGGUAGCGCCUCGUGAAUUCAUCUCCGGGGGUAGAGCACUGUUUCGGCUAGGGGGCCAUCCCGGCUUACCAACCCGAUGCAAACUGCGAAUACCGGAGAAUGUUAUCACGGGAGACACACGGCGGGUGCUAACGUCCGUCGUGAAGAGGGAAACAACCCAGACCGCCAGCUAAGGUCCCAAAGUCAUGGUUAAGUGGGAAACGAUGUGGGAAGGCCCAGACAGCCAGGAUGUUGGCUUAGAAGCAGCCAUCAUUUAAAGAAAGCGUAAUAGCUCACUGGUCGAGUCGGCCUGCGCGGAAGAUGUAACGGGGCUAAACCAU
This 579-nucleotide ribosomal RNA is filed under the name Salmonella enterica subsp. enterica serovar Infantis. RNAcentral's name for it is "partial 23S ribosomal RNA". It matches the Rfam family "Bacterial large subunit ribosomal RNA", at positions 610 to 1190 of the family's 2925-position model. The record is from RNAcentral. RNAcentral also lists the same sequence under 2 other names. Lineage: Bacteria; Pseudomonadati; Pseudomonadota; Gammaproteobacteria; Enterobacterales; Enterobacteriaceae.